UUAAAGAUGUUAGGCUUAUAUUUUGAUCCUAAUCUUCAGCUAGUAUAAAUCUGCCCAGCUCAGUGGAAUGAGUGGAGCUGCAGAAACUGAAGACUGAGUCUUAUUUUUGAGACUUCCCUACGUCAUAAAUGAGGACAAAGGCCAUGAAACAGGGAGUAAGGACAACUGGCAGCUGGAACACAGAGUUGAAGAAGUCAUCAACAGGAUCAGGGUGCAACUGCUUACAACUGGGCAGUUCCUUUCAGAUCAAACCAAAAUAAAGGUUUAACACAUCAUGUUUGACACUCCAUCAUCAAGUUAUAUGACUCAACACCUUAAGGAACAACUCAGCCUGGAAAAGCACAAGAACCACUGAUAUGUCAAGAUGUUAUUUCAAGUUCAAACCAAGCAACACAACCUGUCAAAACUGUUCAAAUUAAAUUUCCCACUCUGCAGCUAAUCAUUCAUGCUUACUUUUAGUGCUGUUUACAGUUGUAUUGCUCACAGAACCUGCAGCUCUUGCACACAACACAGAAAUUCGGGUUUGUGACUGGCUAAGUGAAGGUGAUAAUGAAAUGGUUUGGUUCAUUAAACUUUUUCCAAAUAACUACAGAGUUCAUAGGAAUUUCAUAAAAUCAUAUAAUAUCCAGAGUUUUAUCCAAUUGUACUUCAGUUAGACACUUGCAAAACAAUUGACUACACAAACUAUUAAAAAUGUUUAUUUUUAAGCCAAGAAAAGCACAAAAUAUUCUGUCUUUGGAGAGCCUAAUACUACAUUCUUGAACCUUCUGUUUCUUCUUUUUCAUGCAAAUGAAUAAAAAUUAGUGUUUCCCAUUUGUUCAUAGCUUCUGUCAGACAAUUGAAGGCUGUCUCAAGCUCCAGAGAUCAA
Molecule: long non-coding RNA, 868 nt
Organism: Serinus canaria (Common canary)
Lineage: Eukaryota; Metazoa; Chordata; Aves; Passeriformes; Fringillidae
Exons: 4
Source: RefSeq, a predicted model, not a curated record